AACGCACCUUGCGCUCCUUGGUAUUCCGAGGAGCAUGCCUGUUUGAGUGUCAUUAAAUUUCUCAACCUUUCCAGCUUUUAUUAGCUUGGUCAGGCUUGGAUGUGGGAGUUGCAGGCUUUAUUUAUGAAGGUCUGCUCUCCUGAAAUGCAUUAGCGGAACUUUUGUGGACCGUCUAUUGGUGUGAUAAUUAUCUACACCGUGGAUGUAAAGCAGUUUUUAUAAAGUUCAGCUUCUAACUGUCCAUUGACUUGGACAAUUUUGACAAUUUUGACCUCAAAUCAGGUAGGACUACCCGCUGAACUUAA
Molecule: ribosomal RNA, 305 nt
Filed under: uncultured Laccaria
Lineage: Eukaryota; Fungi; Basidiomycota; Agaricomycetes; Agaricales; Tricholomataceae
Description: eukaryotic LSU rRNA
Rfam family: 5.8S ribosomal RNA (bases 1-52)
Source: RNAcentral